RNAcentral lists this ribosomal RNA (528 nucleotides) under uncultured bacterium. RNAcentral describes it as "bacterial SSU rRNA". It matches the Rfam family "Bacterial small subunit ribosomal RNA", at positions 8 to 529 of the family's 1533-position model. The record is from RNAcentral.
AGAGUUUGAUCCUGGCUCAGAUUGAACGCUGGCGGCAUGCUUUACACAUGCAAGUCGAACGGUAACAGGGGAGCUUGCUCCCGCUGACGAGUGGCGAACGGGUGAGUAAUGCAUCGGAACGUACCGAGUAAUGGGGGAUAACUAUCCGAAAGGAUGGCUAAUACCGCAUACGAUCUUAGGAUGAAAGUGGGGGACCUUCGGGCCUCACGUUAUUCGAGCGGCCGAUGCCUGAUUAGCUAGUUGGUAGGGUAAAAGCCUACCAAGGCUACGAUCAGUAGCGGGUCUGAGAGGAUGAUCCGCCACACUGGGACUGAGACACGGCCCAGACUCCUACGGGAGGCAGCAGUGGGGAAUUUUGGACAAUGGGGGCAACCCUGAUCCAGCCAUGCCGCGUGUCUGAAGAAGGCCUUCGGGUUGUAAAGGACUUUUGUUAGGGAGGAAAAUUUAUCCAUUAAUACUGGGUAAAGCUGACAGUACCUAAAGAAUAAGCACCGGCUAACUACGUGCCAGCAGCCGCGGUAAUACGUA